This 746-nucleotide ribosomal RNA is filed under the name uncultured Parvimonas sp. Its description in RNAcentral is "bacterial SSU rRNA". It matches the Rfam family "Bacterial small subunit ribosomal RNA", at positions 28 to 776 of the family's 1533-position model. Lineage: Bacteria; Bacillati; Bacillota; Tissierellia; Tissierellales; Peptoniphilaceae. The record is from RNAcentral.
GACGAACGCUGGCGGCGUGCUUAACACAUGCAAGUCGAACGUGAUUUUUGUGGAAAUUCUUUCGGGAAUGGAAAUGAAAUGAAAGUGGCGAACGGGUGAGUAACACGUGAGCAACCUACCUUACACAGGGGGAUAGCCGUUGGAAACGACGAUUAAUACCGCAUGAGACCACAGAAUCGCAUGAUAUAGGGGUCAAAGAUUUAUCGGUGUAAGAAGGGCUCGCGUCUGAUUAGCUAGUUGGAAGGGUAAAGGCCUACCAAGGCGACGAUCAGUAGCCGGUCUGAGAGGAUGAACGGCCACAUUGGAACUGAGACACGGUCCAAACUCCUACGGGAGGCAGCAGUGGGGAAUAUUGCACAAUGGGGGGAACCCUGAUGCAGCGAUGCCGCGUGAGCGAAGAAGGUUUUCGAAUCGUAAAGCUCUGUCCUAUGAGAAGAUAAUGACGGUAUCAUAGGAGGAAGCCCCGGCUAAAUACGUGCCAGCAGCCGCGGUAAUACGUAUGGGGCGAGCGUUGUCCGGAAUUAUUGGGCGUAAAGGGUACGUAGGCGGUUUUUUAAGUCAGGUGUGAAAGCGUGAGGCUUAACCUCAUUAAGCACUUGAAACUGGAAGACUUGAGUGAAGGAGAGGAAAGUGGAAUUCCUAGUGUAGCGGUGAAAUGCGUAGAUAUUAGGAGGAAUACCGGUGGCGAAGGCGACUUUCUGGACUUUUACUGACGCUCAGGUACGAAAGCGUGGGGAGCAAACAGG